This 1062-nucleotide ribosomal RNA is filed under the name Lecanicillium aphanocladii. Its description in RNAcentral is "SSU rRNA". It matches the Rfam family "Eukaryotic small subunit ribosomal RNA", at positions 54 to 1130 of the family's 1831-position model. The record is from RNAcentral. Lineage: Eukaryota; Fungi; Ascomycota; Sordariomycetes; Hypocreales; Cordycipitaceae.
CGGGUCUAGUAUAAGCAAUUAUACAGCGAAACUGCGAAUGGCUCAUUAUAUAAGUUAUCGUUUAUUUGAUAGUACCUUACUACUUGGAUAACCGUGGUAAUUCUAGAGCUAAUACAUGCUAAAAAUCCCGACUUCGGAAGGGAUGUAUUUAUUAGAUUAAAAACCAAUGCCCUUUGGGCUCCUUGGUGAUUCAUAAUAACUUUUCGAAUCGCAUGGCCUUGCGCCGGCGAUGGUUCAUUCAAAUUUCUUCCCUAUCAACUUUCGAUGUUUGGGUAUUGGCCAAACAUGGUCGCAACGGGUAACGGAGGGUUAGGGCUCGACCCCGGAGAAGGAGCCUGAGAAACGGCUACUACAUCCAAGGAAGGCAGCAGGCGCGCAAAUUACCCAAUCCCGAUUCGGGGAGGUAGUGACAAUAAAUACUGAUACAGGGCUCUUUUGGGUCUUGUAAUUGGAAUGAGUACAAUUUAAAUCCCUUAACGAGGAACAAUUGGAGGGCAAGUCUGGUGCCAGCAGCCGCGGUAAUUCCAGCUCCAAUAGCGUAUAUUAAAGUUGUUGUGGUUAAAAAGCUCGUAGUUGAACCUUGGGCCUGGCUGGCCGGUCCGCCUCACCGCGUGUACUGGUCCGGCCGGGCCUUUCCCUCUGUGGAACCUCAUGCCCUUCACUGGGUGUGGCGGGGAAACAGGACUUUUACUUUGAAAAAAUUAGAGUGCUCCAGGCAGGCCUAUGCUCGAAUACAUUAGCAUGGAAUAAUAAAAUAGGACGUGUGGUUCUAUUUUGUUGGUUUCUAGGACCGCCGUAAUGAUUAAUAGGGACAGUCGGGGGCAUCAGUAUUCAAUUGUCAGAGGUGAAAUUCUUGGAUUUAUUGAAGACUAACUACUGCGAAAGCAUUUGCCAAGGAUGUUUUCAUUAAUCAGGAACGAAAGUUAGGGGAUCGAAGACGAUCAGAUACCGUCGUAGUCUUAACCAUAAACUAUGCCGACUAGGGAUCGGACGAUGUUAUUUUUUGACGCGUUCGGCACCUUACGAGAAAUCAAAGUGCUGGGCUCCAGGGGGACAUUUUAC